UUCAGUGCUGCCCUUAACAAGCAGCGUGCACUUUUCUCUUAGUAAGACGUCGUGAUCCAUUAGAAAUUGAUGCAUACCGAAUGUAUAUUGGGUCAUCAAUAGGCCGGCGCGAAGUUUGUGCGGAACAAAUGGCAUGAUCUUUCACGUCCGUGUGUAUUGUCUGCUGAGCGUGUCGUGUCCUGUAAUGACUGUCUGAUGGAUUUUAGAGACGAUAUUACUGAUGCUCCGGCAUCACUCGCCUCGGCGAGCGCAAAUAUCUGUCCGAUCGACGACGGUUAAAUUUGGGAUACCUUUUGGACCCGUCUUGAAACACGGACCAAGGAGUCUAUCUAGUAUGCGAGUAAAUGGAUAGUUAUGAAAUCUAUUUGCAAAACAAACAUGACUGUUUUAAUGGGAUUACGAGAUUUCGCACUUGUGCGUAUCACUUCCAUCCCGGGGUAUUUUUGUCAACAUAUGCGCAAGCAUAUGGAAAAUAUACCAUGAGCACACUGGAUACGACCCGAAAGAUGGUGAACUAUGCCUGAUCAGGUCGAAGUCAGGGGAAACCCUGAUGGAGGACCGAAGCAGUUCUGACGUGCAAAUCG
This 584-nucleotide ribosomal RNA is filed under the name Nilothauma sp. 1 SRM-2010. Its description in RNAcentral is "eukaryotic LSU rRNA". It matches the Rfam family "Eukaryotic large subunit ribosomal RNA", at positions 451 to 900 of the family's 3401-position model. Lineage: Eukaryota; Metazoa; Arthropoda; Insecta; Diptera; Chironomidae. The record is from RNAcentral.